RNAcentral lists this ribosomal RNA (390 nucleotides) under uncultured bacterium. Its description in RNAcentral is "partial 16S ribosomal RNA". It matches the Rfam family "Bacterial small subunit ribosomal RNA", at positions 523 to 916 of the family's 1533-position model. The record is from RNAcentral.
AUACGGAGGAUGCGAGCGUUAUCCGGAUUUAUUGGGUUUAAAGGGAGCGUAGGCGGGAGCUUAAGUCAGCGGUUAAAUGGUGCGGCUCAACCGUGCCCUGCCGUUGAAACUGGGUUUCUUGAGAGUGCAAGAGGCGGAUGGAAUUCAUGGUGUAGGGGGGAAAUGCUUAGAUAUCAUGAAGAACUCCGAUUGCGAAGGCAGUCCGCUGGGGCACGUCUGACGCUGAUGCUCGAAGGUGCGGGAAUCAAACAGGAUUAGAUACCCUGGUGGUCCGCACGGUAAACGAUGAUUACCCGCUGUCGGCGGUAGACAGUCGGCGGCCAAGCGAAAGCGAUAAGUAAUCCACCUGGGGAGUACGCCGGCAACGGUGAAACUCAAAUGAAUUGACGG